Molecule: ribosomal RNA, 505 nt
Filed under: uncultured bacterium
Lineage: Bacteria
Description: partial 16S ribosomal RNA
Rfam family: Bacterial small subunit ribosomal RNA
Source: RNAcentral
GACGAACGCUGGCGGCGUGCCUAAUACAUGCAAGUGGGACGCAAGGACACACACUGUGCUUGCACACCGUGUUUUCUUGAGUCGCGAACGGGUGAGUAACGCGUAGGUAACCUGCCUAUUAGCGGGGGAUAACUAUUGGAAACGAUAGCUAAUACCGCAUAAUAUUAAUUAUUGCGUGAUAAUUGAUUGAAAGAUGCAAGCGCAUCACUAGUAGAUGGACCUGCGUUGUAUUAGCUAGUUGGUAAGGUAAGAGCUUACCAAGGCGACGAUACAUAGCCGACCUGAGAGGGUGAUCGGCCACACUGGGACUGAGACACGGCCCAGACUCCUACGGGAGGCAGCAGUAGGGAAUCUUCGGCAAUGGACGAAAGUCUGACCGAGCAACGCCGCGUGAGUGAAGAAGGGUUUCGGAUCGUAAAGCUCUGUUGUAAGUCAAGAACGUGUGUGAGAGUGGAAAGUUCACACAGUGACGGUAGCUUACCAGAAAGAGACGGCUAACUACGUG